RNAcentral lists this transfer RNA (69 nucleotides) under Rattus norvegicus (Norway rat). It matches the Rfam family "tRNA". Rfam says of the family: Transfer RNA (tRNA) molecules are approximately 80 nucleotides in length. Lineage: Eukaryota; Metazoa; Chordata; Mammalia; Rodentia; Muridae. The record is from Rfam by way of RNAcentral.
GGGGACUUAGCUCUGUGGUAGAGCGCUUGCCUAGCAAGCACAAGGCCCUGGGUUCGGUUCCCAGCUCCG